GGGGGUGUUCCGGAUUCGAUCCUUGGUUGGAGUGCGCCGCUGCCUGCCGAGAGUCGCAAGGCCUCUCGUAAAUCCCCCUUCGAACCAAUAACAGGCAACUACGAAGAAAUGCCCUUGGCCGCCUAAUAGUGCGGCCUCGUUGGUCCGGCGACACCUGCUAGCCGUGACUAACGUCGACAGCAGGUAUAGUGCAUGGUGCCGUCCGCGGAACAUGCGCCGUAUCUUCUUCCGGGGACUGGCCGACGCAUUUGCCCGGAUGCACGCAUAACGUCGGCAAGAUCAAGUGCAACCUACGCAUGGUAGACGCGGUGCAUAAAGGUCAGGGACACGCGGGUUCAACUCCCGCCACCUCCACCA
RNAcentral lists this transfer-messenger RNA (357 nucleotides) under Opitutaceae. Its description in RNAcentral is "Cephaloticoccus sp019455245 Standard tmRNA". It matches the Rfam family "transfer-messenger RNA". Rfam says of the family: Bacterial tmRNA, also known as 10Sa RNA or SsrA, is named for its dual tRNA and mRNA-like properties. Its role is to liberate the mRNA from a stalled ribosome. RNAcentral also lists the same sequence under 1 other name. The record is from RNAcentral. Lineage: Bacteria; Pseudomonadati; Verrucomicrobiota; Opitutia; Opitutales.